RNAcentral lists this ribosomal RNA (253 nucleotides) under uncultured bacterium. RNAcentral's name for it is "partial 16S ribosomal RNA". It matches the Rfam family "Bacterial small subunit ribosomal RNA", at positions 524 to 776 of the family's 1533-position model. The record is from RNAcentral.
UACGGAGGGUGCAAGCGUUAUCCGGAUUCACUGGGUUUAAAGGGUGCGUAGGUGGGUUGGUAAGUCAGUGGUGAAAUCCCCGAGCUUAACUUGGGAACUGCCAUUGAUACUAUUAGUCUUGAAUACCGUGGAGGUCGGCGGAAUAUGUCAUGUAGCGGUGAAAUGCUUAGAUAUGACAUAGAACACCAAUUGCGAAGGCAGCUGACUACGCGAGUAUUGACACUGAGGCACGAAAGCGUGGGGAUCAAACAGG